This 483-nucleotide ribosomal RNA is filed under the name uncultured bacterium. RNAcentral's name for it is "partial 16S ribosomal RNA". It matches the Rfam family "Bacterial small subunit ribosomal RNA", at positions 30 to 507 of the family's 1533-position model. The record is from RNAcentral.
UUGUACGCUGGCGGCAGGCCUAACACAUGCAAGUCGAGCGGAUGAAGGGAGCUUGCUCCUGGAUUCAGCGGCGGACGGGUGAGUAAUGCCUAGGAAUCUGCCUGGUAGUGGGGGAUAACGUCCGGAAACGGGCGCUAAUACCGCAUACGUCCUGAGGGAGAAAGUGGGGGAUCUUCGGACCUCACGCUAUCAGAUGAGCCUAGGUCGGAUUAGCUAGUUGGUGGGGUAAAGGCCUACCAAGGCGACGAUCCGUAACUGGUCUGAGAGGAUGAUCAGUCACACUGGAACUGAGACACGGUCCAGACUCCUACGGGAGGCAGCAGUGGGGAAUAUUGGACAAAGGGCGAAAGCCUGAUCCAGCCAUGCCGCGUGUGUGAAGAAGGUCUUCGGAUUGUAAAGCACUUUAAGUUGGGAGGAAGGGCAGUAAGUUAAUACCUUGCUGUUUUGACGUUACCAACAGAAUAAGCACCGGCUAACUUCGUG